CACUUCCCAUAAUGCCGCGUUCCGGAAGUUGUUGCUUUCCAGGGGUCACUCUGGCGUCUGCUCCGUCGCUCUCAAUUCGUCACCAGGAGGAAGACGGAGCUGGCUGCCCAGCCCAAAGGCCCAUGAGGGGAUGCAGUUAUGGGCUCUGUCGCCGUGGAUUAUUAUUUUGUGUCAGUAAGUAAUCCAUAAAGUGCCAACAUGGGAAAGAAACGGACAAAGGGAAAAACUGUUCCAAUCGAUGAUUCCUCUGAAACUUUAGAACCUAUGUGCAGACACAUUAGAAAAGGAUUGGAACAAGGUAACUUGAAAAAGGCUUUAGUGAAUGUGGAAUGGAAUAUUUGCCAAGACUGUAAGACUGACAAUAAAGUGAAAGAUAAAGCUGAAGAAGAAACAGAAGAAAAGCCUUCAGUUUGGUUAUGUCUUAAAUGUGGCCAUCAGGUGUG
This is a long non-coding RNA of Mandrillus leucophaeus (drill), 443 nucleotides long. RefSeq lists it as uncharacterized. The record is from RefSeq and is a predicted model, not a curated record. The transcript has 3 exons. Lineage: Eukaryota; Metazoa; Chordata; Mammalia; Primates; Cercopithecidae.